RNAcentral lists this ribosomal RNA (253 nucleotides) under uncultured bacterium. RNAcentral describes it as "partial 16S ribosomal RNA". It matches the Rfam family "Bacterial small subunit ribosomal RNA", at positions 524 to 776 of the family's 1533-position model. The record is from RNAcentral.
UACGUAGGGUGCGAGCGUUAAUCGGAAUUACUGGGCGUAAAGCGUGCGCAGGCGGUUUUGCAAGCCGGAUGUGAAAUCCCCGGGCUUAACCUGGGAAUGGCAUUUGGGACUGCAAGGCUGGAGUGCGGCAGAGGAGACUGGAAUUUACGGUGUAGCAGUGAAAUGCGUAGAGAUGUGGAGGAAUACCGAUGGCGAAGGCAGCCCCCUGGGCCAAUACUGACGCUCAUGCACGAAAGCGUGGGGAGCAAACAGG